GACGAACGCUGGCGGCGUGCUUAACACAUGCAAGUCGAGCGGUAAGGCCCUUUCGGGGGUACACGAGCGGCGAACGGGUGAGUAACACGUGGGUGACCUGCCCUUAGCUCUGGGAUAAGCCUGGGAAACCGGGUCUAAUACCGGAUAUGACUCCAUGACGCAUGUUGUGGGGUGGAAAGCCUUGUGCGGCUAGGGAUGGGCCCGCGGCCUAUCAGCUUGUUGGUGGGGUGAUGGCCACCAAGGCGACGACGGGUAGCCGGCCUGAGAGGGCGACCGGCCACACUGGGACUGAGACACGGCCCAGACUCCUACGGGAGGCAGCAGUGGGGAAUCUUGCGCAAUGGGCGAAAGCCUGACGCAGCGACGCCGCGUGGGGACGACGGCCUCGGUU
Molecule: ribosomal RNA, 391 nt
Filed under: uncultured bacterium
Lineage: Bacteria
Description: bacterial SSU rRNA
Rfam family: Bacterial small subunit ribosomal RNA
Source: RNAcentral